Molecule: long non-coding RNA, 501 nt
Filed under: Numida meleagris (helmeted guineafowl)
Lineage: Eukaryota; Metazoa; Chordata; Aves; Galliformes; Numididae
Description: lncRNA (ENSNMEG00000000447.1)
Source: RNAcentral
UCCUUGACCCCGCACGCAGUGGUGGCUGUCACCAAGAAGAACGCCAACGCCUCCAUGGUCUUCUCCUUCCUCUACAAACUGGUGGAGGUGGGCGGGGGUCCCAUCUCCACCCCAAAGGAGGGGUCCCACCGGGGGGGUCCCAGUCCCCAUCCCAAUGGGGUCCCACCUCUACCCCAAUGAAGGGGUCCCACCCAGGGGGCCCCAUCUCCAUCCCAACUGGGGGUCCCACCUCCAUCCCAACGGGGUCCCAACUCCACCCCAAUGGGGGGUCCCACUCCCCAUCCCAACUGGGGGUCCCACCUGCAUCCCAACGGGGUCCCACCUCCAUCCCAAUGGGGUCUCACCUCCAUCCCAGCUGGGGGUCCCACCUCCAUCCCAAUGGGGGGGGCCCCAUCUCCAUCCCAAUGGGGUCCCACCUCCAUCCCAAUGGGGGUCCCACCUCCAUCCCAAUGGGGGACCCCACUUUCACCCUAACAGGGGUCCCACCUCCAUCCCAACUGG